UACAGAGGGUGCAAGCGUUGUUCGGAAUUAUUGGGCGUAAAGCGCGCGUAGGCGGCUUUUCAAGUCGAUUGUGAAAUCCCCGGGCUUAACCUGGGAACUGCAGUCGAGACUGUCUAGCUAGAGUAUGGGAGAGGGAAGUGGAAUUUCAGGUGUAGCGGUGAAAUGCGUAGAUAUCUGAAGGAACAUCAGUGGCGAAAGCGACUUCCUGGACCAAUACUGACGCUCAUGUGCGAAAGCGUGGGGAGCAAACAGG
Molecule: ribosomal RNA, 253 nt
Filed under: uncultured bacterium
Lineage: Bacteria
Description: partial 16S ribosomal RNA
Rfam family: Bacterial small subunit ribosomal RNA
Source: RNAcentral